UGCAAGUCGAACGGUAGCACAGAGAGCUUGCUCUCGGGUGACGAGUGGCGGACGGGUGAGUAAUGUCUGGGAAACUGCCUGAUGGAGGGGGAUAACUACUGGAAACGGUAGCUAAUACCGCAUAACGUCGCAAGACCAAAGAGGGGGACCUUCGGGCCUCUUGCCAUCGGAUGUGCCCAGAUGGGAUUAGCUAGUAGGUGGGGUAAUGGCUCACCUAGGCGACGAUCCCUAGCUGGUCUGAGAGGAUGACCAGCCACACUGGAACUGAGACACGGUCCAGACUCCUACGGGAGGCAGCAGUGGGGAAUAUUGCACAAUGGGCGCAAGCCUGAUGCAGCCAUGCCGCGUGUAUGAAGAAGGCCUUCGGGUUGUAAAGUACUUUCAGCGAGGAGGAAGGCAUUGUGGUUAAUAACCACAGUGAUUGACGUUACUCGCAGAAGAAGCACCGGCUAACUCCGUGCCAGCAGCCGCGGUAAUACGGAGGGUGCAAGCGUUAAUCGGAAUUACUGGGCGUAAAGCGCACGCAGGCGGUCUGUCAAGUCGGAUGUGAAAUCCCCGGGCUCAACCUGGGAACUGCAUCCGAAACUGGCAGGCUAGAGUCUUGUAGAGGGGGGUAGAAUUCCAGGUGUAUCGGUGAAAUGCGUAGAGAUCUGGAGGAA
RNAcentral lists this ribosomal RNA (659 nucleotides) under Citrobacter freundii. Its description in RNAcentral is "bacterial SSU rRNA". It matches the Rfam family "Bacterial small subunit ribosomal RNA", at positions 56 to 706 of the family's 1533-position model. The record is from RNAcentral. Lineage: Bacteria; Pseudomonadati; Pseudomonadota; Gammaproteobacteria; Enterobacterales; Enterobacteriaceae.